AUUGAACGCUGGCGGCAUGCCUUACACAUGCAAGUCGAACGGUAACGGGCCUUCGGGUGCCGACGAGUGGCGAACGGGUGAGUAAUACAUCGGAACGUGCCCGAUCGUGGGGGAUAACGAGGCGAAAGCUUUGCUAAUACCGCAUACGAUCUACGGAUGAAAGCCGGGGACCGCAAGGCCUUGCGCGGACGGAGCGGCCGAUGGCAGAUUAGGUAGUUGGUGGGAUAAAAGCUUACCAAGCCGACGAUCUGUAGCUGGUCUGAGAGGAUGAUCAGCCACACUGGGACUGAGACACGGCCCAGACUCCUACGGGAGGCAGCAGUGGGGAAUUUUGGACGAUGGGCGCAAGCCUGAUCCAGCCAUGCCGCGUGCAGGAUGAAGGCCUUCGGGUUGUAAACUGCUUUUGUAAGGAACGAAAAGCCUUCUUUUAAUACAGGAGGGUCAUGACGGUACCGUAAGAAUAAGCACCGGCUAACUACGUG
RNAcentral lists this ribosomal RNA (482 nucleotides) under uncultured bacterium. RNAcentral's name for it is "partial 16S ribosomal RNA". It matches the Rfam family "Bacterial small subunit ribosomal RNA", at positions 30 to 507 of the family's 1533-position model. The record is from RNAcentral.